ACGGGAGGCAGCAGUGAGGAAUAUUGGUCAAUGGGCGGGAGCCUGAACCAGCCAAGUAGCGUGGAGGAUGACGGCCCUACGGGUUGUAAACUCCUUUUGCCGGGGGAUAAAAAACGGGACGCGUCCCGUCUUGCAGGUACCCGUGCGAAUAAGGACCGGCUAAUUCCGUGCCAGCAGCCGCGGUAAUACGGAAGGUCUGGGCGUUAUCCGGAUUUAUUGGGUUUAAAGGGAGCGUAGGCGGGCUUUUAAGUCAGCUGUGAAAUCCUGCGGCUCAACCGUGGAAUUGCAGUUGAUACUGGGGGCCUUGAGUGCACGCAGGGAUGCCGGAAUUCGUUGUGUAGCGGUGAAAUGCUUAGAUAUGACGAAGAACUCCGAUCGCGAAGGCAAGUGUCCGGAGUGCGACUGACGCUGAGGCUCGAAAGUGCGGGUAUCAAACAGGAUUAGAUACCCUGGUA
RNAcentral lists this ribosomal RNA (455 nucleotides) under uncultured Alloprevotella sp. Its description in RNAcentral is "partial 16S ribosomal RNA". It matches the Rfam family "Bacterial small subunit ribosomal RNA", at positions 341 to 792 of the family's 1533-position model. Lineage: Bacteria; Pseudomonadati; Bacteroidota; Bacteroidia; Bacteroidales; Prevotellaceae. The record is from RNAcentral.